CGCGCGCCCGCCUCACAGGGCAAGUUUGGGGUAAAUGAGAGAGAAAGAGGCAGAGCGGCGCUGUGCGAGUGUGUGUGUGAGAGAGGACAAGAACAAGGAGGGAUAUUAUUGUCGCGUAAGCUUUCUCGCUUCGUUGUUAGAGUCACCCAGUCACAGCAUCUCUGUGGACGCUACUUUUCGCCGAUGAUGUCAUGCUAGAGAGAGAAGAGCGUCAAGAUACAGUACGCAGCAAUUGAAGGCGCGGCUAGAAGAAAACGGGAUGCGAGCUCAAAUCAAAAGCCCAACUUUAUGGAGUGCAGACUGCACGAGGACAGAACCAUCAGAGUUGACGUCCUGGACCUGAAUAAGUUCAGUCAGUUCAAGUACCUGGACUCACUACGCUAUUCCCAAUGGCGAUACGCUUCCAGAUGCCCGGGAAUGAGUCACCGGUGCGUGGCUAAAAUGACGCUGAGUUACUGGAGUGCUCUGUGAUCCCAAGAUGCCCAUCCAUCUUAAGGCGAAAGUGUACAAGACUGUCAUCCGUCCAGUCGCUCUGUAUGGCGUAGACUGCUGGCCAGCUACCACGAAGCACAAACAAACAGGCCAUGCCAUGGAAAUGUGAAUGCUUUGCUGGACGCUCGGCCUCACCCGCCUCAACCACAUCAGCAAUGAAUGUAUCCGCAAGAUCUUGGGACUGGCACCGAUCACAGAAAAGGUGUGCGAAGGACGACCGCGAUGGUACGGCCAUGUCUUUCGAAGCAGCGAGCAUAUGGUGGCUACGUCCGCAAGGACAACGGCCUUGUGGUGGGCCAAACAAGCAUUGGCUUGACGGACUGAAGGAAGAAGGAAGCCGAGGCUCGAUCGAGGGAAUCUUCAGGACUGUUUGCCUGCCGCAUGUUGGAGAAUGGCAUGCGCUAAACCUGCGGACCCUGCAUCAACGUGGGACAAAUGCUAGGAAGAAGAUUUACCAAAUUUUCCCAAACUUGGUAUAUGACGACUACAACCAGAGAGGGUGAAGGGUGCCAGAAAGGGUGCCUACCGCUGAGACACGUGAAGCCAGCGCUAUCUGCUCUCUUCCGCAUACAUGAGCUCAGAGAUACCUGUGGUUGGAUAGCAUCAUUGUGAUUGACGAGGGAUCGAGAUCGUGCCAUCCCUCCCACCCGGAGUGCUUGGCCAAUUCUGCUCUCUUGGCUCCCGAAUCUCUUGGCUCGCGAUCUCUCAACUAUAGGACGAGCUGUUUUAUAUUAUACUAUUUAGAAACGCAUUGAUCCCC
Ictalurus punctatus (channel catfish) is the source of this 1252-nucleotide long non-coding RNA. NCBI's taxonomy places the organism in Eukaryota, Metazoa, Chordata, Actinopteri, Siluriformes, Ictaluridae. The record is from Ensembl.